RNAcentral lists this ribosomal RNA (605 nucleotides) under Citrobacter portucalensis. Its description in RNAcentral is "partial 23S ribosomal RNA". It matches the Rfam family "Bacterial large subunit ribosomal RNA", at positions 2240 to 2839 of the family's 2925-position model. The record is from RNAcentral. Lineage: Bacteria; Pseudomonadati; Pseudomonadota; Gammaproteobacteria; Enterobacterales; Enterobacteriaceae.
CCGGGUUGCGGACAGUGUCUGGUGGGUAGUUUGACUGGGGCGGUCUCCUCCUAAAGAGUAACGGAGGAGCACGAAGGUUAGCUAAUCCUGGUCGGACAUCAGGAGGUUAGUGCAAAGGCAUAAGCUAGCUUGACUGCGAGAGUGACGGCUCGAGCAGGUGCGAAAGCAGGUCUUAGUGAUCCGGUGGUUCUGAAUGGAAGGGCCAUCGCUCAACGGAUAAAAGGUACUCCGGGGAUAACAGGCUGAUACCGCCCAAGAGUUCAUAUCGACGGCGGUGUUUGGCACCUCGAUGUCGGCUCAUCACAUCCUGGGGCUGAAGUAGGUCCCAAGGGUAUGGCUGUUCGCCAUUUAAAGUGGUACGCGAGCUGGGUUUAGAACGUCGUGAGACAGUUCGGUCCCUAUCUGCCGUGGGCGCUGGAGAAUUGAGGGGGGCUGCUCCUAGUACGAGAGGACCGGAGUGGACGCAUCACUGGUGUUCGGGUUGUCAUGCCAAUGGCAUUGCCCGGUAGCUAAAUGCGGAAGAGAUAAGUGCUGAAAGCAUCUAAGCACGAAACUUGCCCCGAGAUGAGUUCUCCCUGACUCCUUGAGAGUCCUGAAGGAACGUU